RNAcentral lists this ribosomal RNA (464 nucleotides) under Vreelandella stevensii. RNAcentral's name for it is "partial 16S ribosomal RNA". It matches the Rfam family "Bacterial small subunit ribosomal RNA", at positions 339 to 795 of the family's 1533-position model. The record is from RNAcentral. Lineage: Bacteria; Pseudomonadati; Pseudomonadota; Gammaproteobacteria; Oceanospirillales; Halomonadaceae.
CUACGGGUGUGCUGCAGUGGGGAAUAUUGGACAAUGGGCGAAAGCCUGAUCCAGCCAUGCCGCGUGUGUGAAGAAGGCCUUCGGGUUGUAAAGCACUUUCAGUGGGGAAGAAAGCCUUGGGGCUAAUACCCUCGAGGAAGGACAUCACCCACAGAAGAAGCACCGGCUAACUCCGUGCCAGCAGCCGCGGUAAUACGGAGGGUGCGAGCGUUAAUCGGAAUUACUGGGCGUAAAGCGCGCGUAGGCGGUCUGAUAAGCCGGUUGUGAAAGCCCCGGGCUCAACCUGGGAACGGCAUCCGGAACUGUCAGGCUAGAGUGCAGGAGAGGAAGGUAGAAUUCCCGGUGUAGCGGUGAAAUGCGUAGAGAUCGGGAGGAAUACCAGUGGCGAAGGCGGCCUUCUGGACUGACACUGACGCUGAGGUGCGAAAGCGUGGGUAGCAAACAGGAUUAGAUACCCUGUAGUC